Etheostoma spectabile (orangethroat darter) is the source of this 1204-nucleotide long non-coding RNA. RefSeq lists it as uncharacterized. The transcript has 3 exons. Lineage: Eukaryota; Metazoa; Chordata; Actinopteri; Perciformes; Percidae. The record is from RefSeq and is a predicted model, not a curated record.
UCCCCACUAAGGAGGUCCAUGUGGGACAGGAGGCCGACACGUUCAGGAGCCAGAAUCCUAAUCAUGCUAUAUGUUUUUUUGUUUUUGAGACUUAAAAUAAUGGUCAGUUUUUGGUGUUUUGUGUCAGCUGUCGGUGCCAUUCCUAGCAGACGUCAGGAAAGCCUACAUCACCCCUGCAGAGUACCUCCAGUAGAAGCUCCCCUCGGCCAGUCCGACUCUGACAGCCCUGUCUGCUCUGGACCCUCUUCUGAGAGGCCACUCACAGGUGUGCUGACCAGAGAAAUCCACUGCUGCACUCUGGAUGACACGUGGUUGAGAGAAAAAAAGUCAUAAUAUAGAGGACAUAACUACUUGGAAAAGCACAUAAACAAGCAGAGCCCUGGGGAUCAUAAAAGUGAGGACAGAGCCGGGUUUGUUCUCUUUCUGGAACAAAACAGACCCGAGCAGAAGAGACAACAGAGGAAACUCGGCUUCCAGUAUAAAAAAAAACAAAAAACCAUCGCCAUCCCAGGAAACUACGCCUGCAGCGCGGAAGUGCAAAAGCCUGCGAAAGCUGCCCUGCAGCGCUGCUCUCCAAAUGCCAGCUAGUAAUGUGCCACCUGUUUAACGCUGCAAAUUGACAUCCGCAAGCAGAGCGCUCUGCCUCCCUGCUCCAGCCAGAGCCUUUAUCCACAGGAAACCACCGGCUCAGUGGAGAAGACUGAUCACCAAGGACGAGCUCUCAGGCCUCACACACUGCGGUAACAGAUUACGCUUCUUCUUCUUUUGCCCCCUAACUGACAACGUCUUUUUUUGGUUUUUCAUGAUCUGCUCUUAUUGCACAGCUGGGUGGGCGUUGUUUAAGGAGUCACGCGUCACCUUGCCAGGGGGAGUCCGGCUUGCUGAAGGGAGAAAGCCGUUACAUCUUUAUUUCCUUCUUUCUUUUACUUUCCAAAUCUCAUUGUCAUUUUAUCUUAUGUCCUCUGUCUUGCUUGUCUCAGCAUAUAAAUGUUUUUGUGUUUUGCUCACACACACACACACACACACACACACACACACACACACACGCACACACAGUUUCCCCAUCCUGCUCUCCUCUCCUUCCUCUCUUUUUCUCUCCUCUCUGUCAAAUUCCAAUAAGCAUUAUUGCGAUAUGACUGUGUACGUUACAUUUUGGGUCCGUGUUUCUUGGUUGACGCAGCUUGGAGAGUGUAGUAGGAGACAG